GUACAGGACCCUGGAUGGAACAAAGACUGAAGAACACACUUUGACAGGAUUCUGGGCUGGGUUUAUUCUGACCACACAGUUAAGGUUGAAAUGGUAGAGUGAGAAGAACUAAAGAAAGGAACCACUGCAUGACUAUUAUUAUUUUUUUUUACAAAAGUUUAUUGUUAAAUGUACAACAGGCUCCAGAACAACACUUCAUUCCAACUAUAGGUGGCAAGAGAUGUUAUGACAGGGAAUCCAGAUGUUAAAACAGGAAUGG
Long non-coding RNA from Phyllostomus discolor (pale spear-nosed bat), 259 nucleotides. RefSeq lists it as uncharacterized. The record is from RefSeq and is a predicted model, not a curated record. The transcript is spliced from 3 exons. Lineage: Eukaryota; Metazoa; Chordata; Mammalia; Chiroptera; Phyllostomidae.